Molecule: ribosomal RNA, 897 nt
Filed under: Calonectria colhounii
Lineage: Eukaryota; Fungi; Ascomycota; Sordariomycetes; Hypocreales; Nectriaceae
Description: LSU rRNA
Rfam family: Eukaryotic large subunit ribosomal RNA
Source: RNAcentral
UAGCAUAUCAAUAAGCGGAGGAAAAGAAACCAACAGGGAUUGCCCUAGUAACGGCGAGUGAAGCGGCAACAGCUCAAAUUUGAAAUCUGGCCCUCGGGUCCGAGUUGUAAUUUGUAGAGGAUGCUUUUGGUGAGGUACCUUCCGAGUUCCCUGGAACGGGACGCCAUAGAGGGUGAGAGCCCCGUCUGGUUGGAUACCGAGCCUCUGUAAAGCUCCUUCGACGAGUCGAGUAGUUUGGGAAUGCUGCUCUAAAUGGGAGGUAUAUGUCUUCUAAAGCUAAAUACCGGCCAGAGACCGAUAGCGCACAAGUAGAGUGAUCGAAAGAUGAAAAGCACUUUGAAAAGAGAGUUAAAAAGUACGUGAAAUUGUUGAAAGGGAAGCGCUUAUGACCAGACUUGGGCUUGGUUGAUCAUCCUGGGUUCUCCCUGGUGCACUCUUCCAGUUCAGGCCAGCAUCAGUUCGCUGCGGGGGAUAAAAGUUUUGGGAAUGUGGCUCCCUCGGGAGUGUUAUAGCCCAUUUCAUAAUACCCUGCUCCGGACUGAGGUUCGCGCAUCUGCAAGGAUGCUGGCGUAAUGGUCAUCAGCGACCCGUCUUGAAACACGGACCAAGGAGUCGUCUUCGUAUGCGAGUGUUCGGGUGUUAAACCCCUACGCGUAAUGAAAGUGAACGCAGGUGAGAGCUUCGGCGCAUCAUCGACCGAUCCUGAUGUUCUCGGAUGGAUUUGAGUAAGAGCAUACGGGGCCGGACCCGAAAGAAGGUGAACUAUGCCUGUAUAGGGUGAAGCCAGAGGAAACUCUGGUGGAGGCUCGCAGCGGUUCUGACGUGCAAAUCGAUCGUCAAAUAUGGGCAUGGGGGCGAAAGACUAAUUCGAACCUUCUAGUAGCUGGUUUCCGCGAU